CAUUGCUGGCGGCGUGCUUAACACAUGCAAGUCGAACGAUGAACCACUUCGGUGGGGAUUAGUGGCGAACGGGUGAGUAACACGUGGGCAAUCUGCCCUUCACUCUGGGACAAGCCCUGGAAACGGGGUCUAAUACCGGAUACUGACCCUCGCAGGCAUCUGCGAGGUUCGAAAGCUCCGGCGGUGAAGGAUGAGCCCGCGGCCUAUCAGCUUGUUGGUGAGGUAAUGGCUCACCAAGGCGACGACGGGUAGCCGGCCUGAGAGGGCGACCGGCCACACUGGGACUGAGACACGGCCCAGACUCCUACGGGAGGCAGCAGUGGGGAAUAUUGCACAAUGGGCAAAGCCUGAUGCA
Molecule: ribosomal RNA, 355 nt
Filed under: Streptomyces sp. R2
Lineage: Bacteria; Bacillati; Actinomycetota; Actinomycetes; Kitasatosporales; Streptomycetaceae
Description: bacterial SSU rRNA
Rfam family: Bacterial small subunit ribosomal RNA
Source: RNAcentral